GACGAACGCUGGCGGCGUGCUUAACACAUGCCAGUCGAACGGAAAGGCCCUGCUUUUGUUGGUUGCUCGAGUGCCGAACGGGUGAGUAACACGUGAGUAACCUGCCCUUGACUUUGUGGUAACUUCAGGAAACUCGGGCGCAUACCGGGUAUGAUCUCCUGCUGCAUGUUGGUGGUUAGAAAAUUUCGGCGGUUGUGGCUGGACUCGCUGCUUAUCCGCUUGUUUGGGGGGUAGUGGCUUACCAAGGCUGUGACGGGUAGCCGGCCUGAGAGGGUGGCCGGCCACAUGGGGACUGCGAUACGGCGCAGUAGGCAACGGGCGGCAGCAGUGGGGAAUAUUGCGGAAUGGGCGGAAGUCUGAUGCAGCAGUGUCGCGUGCGGGAUGACGGGUUUCGGGUGGAGAACCGAUUUCGACUGUGACGAAGAGUGAGUGACGGUAAUGGGUAAAGAAGCACCGGCUAACUACGUG
RNAcentral lists this ribosomal RNA (468 nucleotides) under uncultured bacterium. Its description in RNAcentral is "partial 16S ribosomal RNA". It matches the Rfam family "Bacterial small subunit ribosomal RNA", at positions 28 to 507 of the family's 1533-position model. The record is from RNAcentral.